UCCGUACUUAAAAUUCCUUCAUAUGCAUGACUGCCAAUCCUAGAUCUACACAAUGAUGCGCGCACUUUAUCACUAUAAAAUGUGAUUGUACAUUUGAAUCUAGAAUUGCAAUUUGAGUUAUAUUCCGGGUAAGGGACACACUGGCGAAAACCAAAUGGCGGAUUUUGCAAAGGAGUCUGCUGCAGGUUACCAACAAACUUCAAAAACUAAACACAAAUCAAAGCGCAAGACGGAUUAGCCAAAGCUUUUAGCAAUAUUUUCAAAAUGAUAUGAUCAUGCACUUUGGCUAAUAAUAUUUCGC
Paramuricea clavata is the source of this 301-nucleotide non-coding RNA. The record is from the annotation of a GenBank genome assembly. NCBI's taxonomy places the organism in Eukaryota, Metazoa, Cnidaria, Anthozoa, Malacalcyonacea, Plexauridae.